This 154-nucleotide ribosomal RNA is filed under the name uncultured eukaryote. RNAcentral describes it as "partial small subunit ribosomal RNA". It matches the Rfam family "Eukaryotic small subunit ribosomal RNA", at positions 1651 to 1804 of the family's 1831-position model. The record is from RNAcentral.
CCCUGCCAUUUGUACACACCGCCCGUCGCACCUACCGAUUGAAUGGUCCGGUGAAGCCUCGGGAUUGUGGCCAGUUCACUUUAUUGGGAGUUGGCUGCGAGAACUUGUCUAAACCUUAUCAUUUAGAGGAAGGUGAAGUCGUAACAAGGUUUCC